This 225-nucleotide long non-coding RNA is filed under the name Podarcis lilfordi (Lilford's wall lizard). The record is from RNAcentral. Lineage: Eukaryota; Metazoa; Chordata; Lepidosauria; Squamata; Lacertidae.
GGGCUCCCCGUGCUUCGGGCGAGUGUCUGCAAGCCUCGCGCGCCCUGUGGGAGGUCCCGCCGAGCGCGCGAGGCUUGGGGAGGUAGCCUGCCGCCCGAAGCACGCGAGGCUUGGGGCGGCAGCCGCGGGGGGGGGGGAUAAUUUUUUUUAUUCAUUUCCCCCCCCAAAAAACGAGGUGCGUCCUAUGGACCGGUGCGUCCUAUAGAACGAAAAAUACGGUAAAUC